AACAUCGCGCACCUGCGGGAACCUGCGGAGGGAUCAUCAUUGAAAUCCAUAUUUGGAUCACCCUGUGAACUGUGUAAGUGGGGGCAGUAGUGAGUGGAGGUUAGGGGUAGUGACCAGGGGGAGUAGUGUGCGUGGUAUAUGCCACUACAUCUACUGCUGCGCUACCAUACUACUACUACUGCUGCUACUUACGUUAUAUGGGUUACGCUGCGCUGUUAGGGCGGUAUAUGUGGCGGGACU
RNAcentral lists this unclassified non-coding RNA (240 nucleotides) under soil metagenome. RNAcentral describes it as "partial contains 5.8S ribosomal RNA, internal transcribed spacer 2, and large subunit ribosomal RNA". The record is from RNAcentral.